CGACCCUGUGCGGGAGAGUCCUCCGGAUCGUGCGGAGGCGCCGAAGGAGCAACUCCUCCCCGGAAUCUCUCAGGCUCACGUACCGCACGGGCGAG
This 95-nucleotide non-coding RNA is filed under the name Streptomyces acidiscabies. Its description in RNAcentral is "Glycine sequence". It matches the Rfam family "Glycine riboswitch aptamer". From Rfam's summary of the family: This family represents the bacterial glycine riboswitch. Glycine riboswitches usually consist of two metabolite-binding aptamers domains with similar structures in tandem. The aptamers cooperatively bind glycine to regulate the expression of downstream genes. The record is from Rfam by way of RNAcentral. Lineage: Bacteria; Bacillati; Actinomycetota; Actinomycetes; Kitasatosporales; Streptomycetaceae.